RNAcentral lists this ribosomal RNA (513 nucleotides) under uncultured Glomus. Its description in RNAcentral is "SSU rRNA". It matches the Rfam family "Eukaryotic small subunit ribosomal RNA", at positions 582 to 1098 of the family's 1831-position model. Lineage: Eukaryota; Fungi; Glomeromycota; Glomeromycetes; Glomerales; Glomeraceae. The record is from RNAcentral.
AUUCCGCUCCAUAGCGUAUAUUAAAGUUGUUGCAGUUAAAAAGCUCGUAGUUGAAUUUCGGGGUCAGUAGAUUGGUCGUGCCACAGGUACGUACUGGUCUUACUGAUUCCUCCCUCCUGAUGAACUGUAAUGCCAUUAAUUUGGUGUUGCAGGGAAUCUGGACUGUUACUUUGAAAAAAUUAGAGUGUUUAAAGCAGGCUAACGCUUGAAUACAUUAGCAUGGAAUAAUGAAAUAGGACGCUCGAUCCUAUUUUGUUGGUUUCUAGGAUUGACGUAAUGAUUAAUAGGGAUAGUUGGGGGCAUUAGUAUUCAAUUGUCAGAGGUGAAAUUCUUGGAUUUAUUGAAGACUAACUACUGCGAAAGCAUUUGCCAAGGAUGUUUUCAUUAAUCAAGAACGAAAGUUAGGGGAUCGAAGACGAUCAGAUACCGUCGUAGUCUUAACCAUAAACUAUGCCGACUAGGGAUCGGAUGAUGUUAAUUUUUUAAUGACUCAUUCGGCGCCUUACGGGAAAC